This 301-nucleotide ribosomal RNA is filed under the name uncultured bacterium. Its description in RNAcentral is "partial 16S ribosomal RNA". It matches the Rfam family "Bacterial small subunit ribosomal RNA", at positions 509 to 807 of the family's 1533-position model. The record is from RNAcentral.
CAGCCGCCACGGUAAUACGAAGGGGGCUAGCGUUGUUCGGAAUUACUGGGCGUAAAGCGCACGUAGGCGGAUUGUUAAGUUAGGGGUGAAAUCCCAGGGCUCAACCCUGGAACUGCCUUUAAUACUGGCAAUCUCGAGUCCGAGAGAGGUGAGUGGAAUUCCGAGUGUAGAGGUGAAAUUCGUAGAUAUUCGGAGGAACACCAGUGGCGAAGGCGGCUCACUGGCUCGGUACUGACGCUGAGGUGCGAAAGCGUGGGGAGCAAACAGGAUUAGAUACCCCCGUAGUCCCUGUCUCUUAUAC